AAGCACGAAGGGGAGCCUGGGCUCCCCUUCAAGGUAUGUUGCUAUGCUCGUUUUUGUUUGUCGGGAGGCCUGUUGUUGUUUUUGGCGACCUGGCCCUUCACAUCUUUUUUGAGCGAUCCACAAACGGGACCAAGAGCAAACGUAUUUUUUUGAGCGCUGAUGCCACUUUCAUCGCAUUGAUCCAACCAAUACGGGAGCUGCCUCGGGGCAGUU
Molecule: non-coding RNA, 213 nt
Filed under: Pseudomonas cannabina
Lineage: Bacteria; Pseudomonadati; Pseudomonadota; Gammaproteobacteria; Pseudomonadales; Pseudomonadaceae
Source: RNAcentral